ACCAAGUCUACGAUCUAUAGCUGGUUUUAGAGGAUGAUCAGCAACACUGGGACUGAGACACGGCCCAGACUCCUACGGGAGGCAGCAGUGGGGAAUCUUAGACAAUGGGCGCAAGCCUGAUCUAGCCAUGCCGCGUGUGUGAUGAAGGUCUUAGGAUCGUAAAGCACUUUCGCCAGGGAUGAUAAUGACAGUACCUGGUAAAG
Molecule: ribosomal RNA, 203 nt
Filed under: uncultured bacterium KC424
Lineage: Bacteria; Pseudomonadati; Pseudomonadota; Alphaproteobacteria
Description: partial 16S rRNA
Rfam family: Bacterial small subunit ribosomal RNA
Source: RNAcentral